GUACUCACGGGUAAUCAACCUUUCUGGCGCGAUUAUGUGGGCGUGUUGGAGCCUAAUCAGCCCUCACGUUUUUAUAUUCGUUCCUUUUGGGUGUACUUGCCCGUGCGGUAGGUUAACAUCAAUUUCAGACGUCAUAAAAUGACGGGAGGAAUGUAGCUUUGGUCUCGUACUGAAGUGUUAUAGACUCUGGUAGAUGUGACGUUUGGGAUUGAGGAUUGCAACGGAUACCUCUCGGGGCUACCUGCCUGGCCUCUGAUGAUUGCUAUGGUGCCGAAAGCUUGCUUACGGUCAUCAAAGUUGAUUGUCAAAAGGUUAGAACGGGUUAAA
Molecule: ribosomal RNA, 327 nt
Filed under: uncultured Glomeromycotina
Lineage: Eukaryota; Fungi; Glomeromycota
Description: LSU rRNA
Source: RNAcentral